Long non-coding RNA from Ornithorhynchus anatinus (platypus), 1078 nucleotides. RefSeq lists it as uncharacterized. NCBI's taxonomy places the organism in Eukaryota, Metazoa, Chordata, Mammalia, Monotremata, Ornithorhynchidae. The record is from RefSeq and is a predicted model, not a curated record. The transcript has 3 exons.
CGAGCCCUCAUCUCCUCCUCUCCCACUCCCUUUUGCAUUGCCUUGAUUUGCUCCCUUUAUUCACCUCCCCGUUCCACCCCACAUCACUCGCGUCCAUAUCGGUGAUUUAUUUACGUUCAUUAAUGUAAGCUCAUAGUGGACGGGGAAUCUGUUCUGCUGGGAUACUGUACUCUCUCCCAACCACUCAGCGCAGCGCUCAGUACCUGCGAUGGACUGAUAGAUCUCGAACCCCUAUUUUACAGAUGAGGAGACGGAGGCCCGGAGAAGCGAAGCGACUUGCUCGAGGUCACACGGUGGGGCAAGCGGCCGAGCGGGGAUGAGAACCCAGGACCCCGGACUCUCUCCAGGGCGGGGAUGCGACGGGGAAAGCCGUGAGGGUCUGUGAGCUUCUUCCCUCUGGAGGACCGACGCGGGCGAGAGGAAAGGUCACGGUGCCCAGAAGCCAACGGCGUCAGGAUCUUCAAAGCAUCCAUAAUUUCACGUGGGGGAUCGGGGCCCACCGCCUGGCCGUGCCGAGGGCACUGCAUUGAUUGGGAAAGAACAAUACGACAAUAAACGGAGAUAAUCCCUGCCACGACGAGCUCACGUUCUACCCUGAUGGAGGGUAAGCCCUCAAGAUGUCCCACCGUCAUUACCUUUAAUAUUCUCUGUCGUGCCUUUCUUUUCUAUCGAGGCCGCAUACCUCCCCAAAUACAUUUUUAUCAGACCGUUCGCGUUUCUUGAAAACAGAGCAAGGAAACCGUGUCCGAUGAUUCUCAUUCUGGAUUUCUGGCUUUUGAGGGAUUGUUCUCUGGUUCAAUUUCACUUUGUUAUGGAACAGUGAUUUUUCAUCAUCUUGCAAAUACUACCACGAGACAGUAAGCUCACUGUGGGCAGGGGAAGUGACUUCCAACUCUGGUACAUUGUACUCUCCGAAGCGUUCGGUACAGUGUUGUGCACACAGAAAGCUCUCAAUGAAUCCGAUGGACUGAUAAAUGACAGGAAUGAAAUUCACUUUGAGCUUAUAUUUUUCAUGUCCCCUUAGUCCUUUGACUACUCGCAGGAAAUGGAAAGACAAGAACCGUGAAUAGGUCGCGGU